UGAUUUCUUGUUGCCUUUUCACUUC
This 25-nucleotide non-coding RNA is filed under the name Mus musculus (house mouse). The record is from RNAcentral. Lineage: Eukaryota; Metazoa; Chordata; Mammalia; Rodentia; Muridae.